UACGGAGGGUGCAAGCGUUAUCCGGAUUCACUGGGUUUAAAGGGUGCGUAGGCGGGCAUUUAAGUCAGUGGUGAAAUCUUCGAGCUCAACUCGGAAACUGCCAUUGAUACUAUUUGUCUUGAAUAUUGUGGAGGUGAGCGGAAUAUGUCAUGUAGCGGUGAAAUGCUUAGAUAUGACAUAGAACACCGAUUGCGAAGGCA
This 200-nucleotide ribosomal RNA is filed under the name uncultured bacterium. Its description in RNAcentral is "partial 16S ribosomal RNA". It matches the Rfam family "Bacterial small subunit ribosomal RNA", at positions 524 to 723 of the family's 1533-position model. The record is from RNAcentral.